Molecule: ribosomal RNA, 253 nt
Filed under: uncultured bacterium
Lineage: Bacteria
Description: partial 16S ribosomal RNA
Rfam family: Bacterial small subunit ribosomal RNA
Source: RNAcentral
UACGAAGGGUGCAAGCGUUGUUCGGAAUUAUUGGGCGUAAAGGGCGCGUAGGCGGUGCUUUAAGUCUGUGGUGAAAUCUCUGGGCUCAACUCAGAGUCUGCUAUAGAAACUGCCGUGCUUGAGUGUGGGAGAGGUGAGUGGAAUUCCCGGUGUAGCGGUGAAGUGCGUAGAUAUCGGGAGGAACACCUGUGGCGAAAGCGGCUCACUGGACCACAACUGACGCUGAUGCACGAAAGCUAGGGGAGCAAACAGG